UGGGGAAUCUUGGGCAAUGGGCGCAAGCCUGAUGCAGCCAUGCCGCGUGAGUGAUGAAGGCCUUAGGGUUGUAAAGCUCUUUCACCGGAGAAGAUAAUGACGAUAUCCGGAGAAGAAGCAACGGCUAACUUCGUGCCAGCAGCCGCGGUAAUACGAAGGGGGCUAGCGUUGUUCGGAAUUACUGGGCGUAAAGCGCACGUAGGCGGACUUUUAAGUCAGGGGUGAAAUCCCGGGGCUCAACCCCGGAACUGCCUUUGAUACUGGAAGUCUGGAGUAUGGAAGAGGUAAGUGGAAUUCCGAGUGUAGCGGUGAGAUGCGUAGAUAUUCGGAGGAACACCAGUGGCGAAGGCGGCUUACUGGUCUAUUACUGACGCUGAGUCACGAAAGCGUGGGGAGCGAACA
Molecule: ribosomal RNA, 402 nt
Filed under: uncultured bacterium
Lineage: Bacteria
Description: bacterial SSU rRNA
Rfam family: Bacterial small subunit ribosomal RNA
Source: RNAcentral